Molecule: ribosomal RNA, 499 nt
Filed under: uncultured bacterium
Lineage: Bacteria
Description: bacterial SSU rRNA
Rfam family: Bacterial small subunit ribosomal RNA
Source: RNAcentral
UGGGGAAUCUUGGACAAUGGGGGCAACCCUGAUCCAGCCAUGCCGCGUGAGUGAUGAAGGCCUUAGGGUCGUAAAGCUCUUUCGCCUGUGAAGAUAAUGACGGUAGCAGGUAAAGAAACCCCGGCUAACUCCGUGCCAGCAGCCGCGGUAAUACGGAGGGGGUUAGCGUUGUUCGGAAUUACUGGGCGUAAAGCGCACGUAGGCGGACCAGAAAGUUGGGGGUGAAAUCCCGGGGGGCUCAACCCCGGAACUGCCUCCAAAACUAUUGGUCUAGAGUUCGAGAGAGGUGAGUGGAAUUCCAAGUGUAGAGGUGAAAUUCGUAGAUAUUUGGAGGAACACCAGUGGCGAAGGCGGCUCACUGGCUCGAUACUGACGCUGAGGUGCGAAAGUGUGGGGAGCAAACAGGAUUAGAUACCCUGGUAGUCCACACCGUAAAACGAUGAAUGCCCAGUCGUCGGGUAGCAUGCUAUUCGGUGACACACCUAACGGAUUAAGCAUU